This is a transfer RNA of Planctopirus limnophila DSM 3776, 73 nucleotides long. It matches the Rfam family "tRNA". From Rfam's summary of the family: Transfer RNA (tRNA) molecules are approximately 80 nucleotides in length. Their secondary structure includes four short double-helical elements and three loops (D, anti-codon, and T loops). NCBI's taxonomy places the organism in Bacteria, Pseudomonadati, Planctomycetota, Planctomycetia, Planctomycetales, Planctomycetaceae. The record is from Rfam.
GGCUCUGUAGCUCAACGGUUAGAGCAGAGGACUCAUAAUCCUUUGGUUCUGGGUUCGAAUCCCAGUGGAGCCA